RNAcentral lists this long non-coding RNA (922 nucleotides) under Chrysemys picta bellii (western painted turtle). Its description in RNAcentral is "lncRNA (ENSCPBG00000018078.1)". Lineage: Eukaryota; Metazoa; Chordata; Testudines; Emydidae. The record is from RNAcentral.
CAUGAGACAAUUUCUUUCCUGAUACUCAUAUUUCCUUUCCAUUCAUGUUAUUUUAGGAUGAAUACUCCAUCAUGGGUUCAUUUAAUCAGUGACUCUCCCUUGCUUGCCCCUGUACUUCCCGAGGCUCCGUUCUUUGUGCUUUAUGAAACUUUCCUCAAACAGACCAGACCCUCUACUCCUGAGACACAGUGUACAUUAGCCGAGAGCUCAGAUUCUCAGAUUCAGUGAUCAGCCCCAAGAAGGCCAUGUAGUGCCAAUCCCCUCUUCAGUUGAUGCCAUCUUCCUUAGGAACCUUCAGAAGCCACAGCCAAUAAUAUGCUUAAGGUUGGCGGGUUGUCUGUGGGCGAGGACUGGCCUGCCUCUCAAGGUCUGUGAAAGCGAGGGAUCAUUGUCCAGGAUGGGUUGUAGAUCACUGAUGAUGCGUUGGAGAAGUUUAAGCUGAGGACUGUAGGUGAUGGCCAGUGGAGUUCUGUUGGCUUCUUUCUUGGGCUUGUCUUGCAGCAGGAGGCUUCUGGGUACAUGUCUGGCUCUGUUGAUUUGUUUCCUUAUUUCCUCAUGCGGGUAUCGUAGUUUUGAGAAUGCUUGGUGAAGAUCUUGUAGGUGUUGGUCUCUGUCUGAGAGGUUGGAGCAAACGCGGUUGUACCUCAGUGCUUGGCUGUAGAUGAUGGAUCGUGUGGUGUGUCCGGGAUGGAAGCUGGAGGCAUGAAGGUAGGCAUAGCGGUCGGUGGGUUUUCGGUAUAGGGUGGUGUUAAUGUGACCGUCACUUAUUUGUACUGUGGUGUCUAGGAAGUAGACUUCCCGUGUAGAUUGGUCCAGGCUGAGGUUGAUGGUGGGUUGGAAGCUAUUGAAAUUGUGGUGGAAUUCUUCCAGAGUCUCCUUCCCAUGGGUCCAGAUGAUGAAGAUGUCAUCAAUGUAGCGUAGG